This 74-nucleotide transfer RNA is filed under the name Candidatus Levybacteria bacterium RIFCSPLOWO2_01_FULL_37_26. RNAcentral's name for it is "tRNA-Pro". It matches the Rfam family "tRNA". From Rfam's summary of the family: Transfer RNA (tRNA) molecules are approximately 80 nucleotides in length. Lineage: Bacteria; Candidatus Levyibacteriota. The record is from RNAcentral.
CGGGGACUAGCUCAGCUGGCUAGAGCGCUCGGUUUGGGACCGAGAGGUCAGAGGUUCAAAUCCUCUGUCCCCGA